RNAcentral lists this ribosomal RNA (316 nucleotides) under Clostridioides difficile. RNAcentral describes it as "bacterial LSU rRNA". It matches the Rfam family "Bacterial large subunit ribosomal RNA", at positions 611 to 925 of the family's 2925-position model. Lineage: Bacteria; Bacillati; Bacillota; Clostridia; Peptostreptococcales; Peptostreptococcaceae. The record is from RNAcentral.
UAGAACGGGCCAACGAGUUACGUUAAGUAGCAAGGUUAAGCACUUAAGGUGUGGAGCCGUAGCGAAAGCGAGUUUUAACUGAGCGUUCAGUUACUUGACGUAGACCCGAAACCGGGCGACCUACCCAUGAGCAGGAUGAAGCGAAAGUAAAAUGUCGUGGAGGUCCGAACCCACGAGCGUUGAAAAGCUCGGGGAUGACUUGUGGGUAGCGGUGAAAUUCCAAUCGAGCCCGGAGAUAGCUGGUUCUCCCCGAAAUAGCUUUAGGGCUAGCCUCAAGGUGAGAGAUACGGAGGUAGAGCACUGAAUGUCCUAGGGG